CAUCUCUUUCUUUUUCUUUCUUCAGAAAACCCUCAUCCUCUCUUCUCUUCAUUUUCAUCUGUUCUUUUUUCGCUUUUGACUGAGAACAACUACAACAAGGAGGAUGGUUGGGAUUUUUUUGGGAUUGCGGACAAUGGAUUGAAAGUCCACGAGAAGGAGAAAAAGAAUCAACUUUCCAGAUUGAGGAACAUCACAAGGAAAUACUAAAGGGAGGAGAAAAAGAUUUCGCUUUUCAGCUAUUGCCUUCUCAACAUGAAUUGUUAUGCAUCUGAAUCAUAUAUGAAGCUGGGAGGUUCAGUUUGAAGUACUCUUGAGGUUAUUCUUCUAGAAGCUGUGGAUGUUGAAGAAAAGGUAAACAAUUAUCUAAAGGAAGAAAUAGUUGAAAGAGAUCAAUCAAUAUUGCUUCAUUUUUUCUAGACAUACUUUUGUUUUCUCACCUUGUAGUUUCCUCCCAAUGCUGUACUGAUGUGUUUAUCACCUUGGCAUUUAUCACCUCUCUCCCAAUGCUGCCAUUUUGACUACCAAGAUCGACCCAAAAAAAAUUACGUCAAAUCAUUCUGGAGGGGAUACGAAAAGAAAUUAAGCAUCUGCAUGGUAAUCGAGUGACUUUUAAGAAAUAGAAGAGUUCACAAAGAGAACUACGCGCAGUUGGUUUCUUCAGAUAUGGAAAAUCUUUUGCAAUGUGUCUUGCCUACGGUUUUUCAUAUAAAUAUUCUAAGAAGAUUAUUCUCAUUGCUUAAAGGGAUAAUAGGGUUGUUCUAGAUCUUCUCUCUCUGCUUGAUCGUCUUUAGCUCCAGAAGCAAGGAAAUUUGCAGAAUCGAUCUCCAAACUAUCUUGUUUUUUGUUGCCUCUUAAUCUUUAUUUCCUUUCUAUAUUUAUUGGUUUUAUUCCCCAAAAAUUUUCACCUGGUUAAUAUCUAAAUUUUGCCUAUAUUGUUCCUUUUUUCUCUAUCCAUGCUUUCUCACAAGACAGAUGCAGCCAAGAGAAGAUCAUCACCGAGAAACAUUGCGGGCAAUUUUGCUUCCUUGGGUUUCGUCCUUCUUCAUCUCAGGGGUACGUUCACUUAUUGACUCACAAAGACGAUCCAUAUGGUAACCAACCCAAAGUCUCCAUUUGUGGAGAUCAAAUUUCAUAACAUUAAAAGCAGAAGUGUGAAGACGCUCAUGGGUUAUUUGCAUUAAUAUCAUCAAGAAAUUUUGUCGGAUCUCAUUGCUUUUGGUUUCUCGUAAGGUAUUUGCUUUCAGCCUUUCACGGGAACGAGAGGAGAGUCUGAAUGAAGCUAGAGCUCUCUGAUGCUAUUAGUCAUCGAAAGUCUAGAAUCAUUUUGCUUGUGGCCAAUUAGAAAUACUUUUUUCUUUUCUUUGUCAAUUUGUUCAAUUGGCAUUGGUAUAUGGUUUAGUCUCGCUAAGUAGAUUUUCUUUUUAUACUGCAUGUAUAUGCAUUUUAUUAUUCGAUUGAAUAUACUGUAAAGGAAACUUAU
Coffea arabica (coffee) is the source of this 1480-nucleotide non-coding RNA. The record is from RefSeq and is a predicted model, not a curated record. NCBI's taxonomy places the organism in Eukaryota, Viridiplantae, Streptophyta, Magnoliopsida, Gentianales, Rubiaceae.